AGAGUUUGAUCCUGGCUCAGGACGAACGCUGGCGGCGUGCCUAAUACAUGCAAGUAGAACGCUGAAGAGAGGAGCUUGCUCUUCUUGGAUGAGUUGCGAACGGGUGAGUAACGCGUAGGUAACCUGCCUUGUAGCGGGGGAUAACUAUUGGAAACGAUAGCUAAUACCGCAUAACAAUGGAUGACACAUGUCAUUUAUUUGAAAGGGGCAAUUGCUCCACUACAAGAUGGACCUGCGUUGUAUUAGCUAGUAGGUGAGGUAAUGGCUCACCUAGGCGACGAUACAUAGCCGACCUGAGAGGGUGAUCGGCCACACUGGGACUGAGACACGGCCCAGACUCCUACGGGAGGCAGCAGUAGGGAAUCUUCGGCAAUGGGGGCAACCCUGACCGAGCAACGCCGCGUGAGUGAAGAAGGUUUUCGGAUCGUAAAGCUCUGUUGUAAGUCAAGAACGGGUGUGAGAGUGGAAAGUUCACACUGUGACGGUAGCUUACCAGAAAGGGACGGCUAACUACGUGCCAGCAGCCGCGGUAAUACGUAGGUCCCGAGCGUUGUCCGGAUUUAUUGGGCGUAAAGCGAGCGCAGGCGGUUUGAUAAGUCUGAAGUUAAAGGCUGUGGCUCAACCAUAGUUCGCUUUGGAAACUGUCAAACUUGAGUGCAGAAGGGGAGAGUGGAAUUCCAUGUGUAGCGGUGAAAUGCGUAGAUAUAUGGAGGAACACCGGUGGCGAAGGCGGCUCUCUGGUCUGUAACUGACGCUGAGGCUCGAAAGCGUGGGGAGCGAACAGGAUUAGAUACCCUGGUAGUCCGCGCCGUAAACGAUGAGUGCUAGGUGUUGGAUCCUUUCCGGGAUUCAGUGCCGCAGCUAACGCAUUAAGCACUCCGCCUGGGGAGUACGACCGCAAGGUUGAAACUCAAAGGAAUUGACGGGGGCCCGCACAAGCGGUGGAGCAUGUGGUUUAAUUCGAAGCAACGCGAAGAACCUUACCAGGUCUUGACAUCCCGAUGCUAUUUCUAGAGAUAGAAAGUUACUUCGGUACAUCGGUGACAGGUGGUGCAUGGUUGUCGUCAGCUCGUGUCGUGAGAUGUUGGGUUAAGUCCCGCAACGAGCGCAACCCCUAUUGUUAGUUGCCAUCAUUCAGUUGGGCACUCUAGCGAGACUGCCGGUAAUAAACCGGAGGAAGGUGGGGAUGACGUCAAAUCAUCAUGCCCCUUAUGACCUGGGCUACACACGUGCUACAAUGGCUGGUACAACGAGUUGCGAGUCGGUGACGGCGAGCUAAUCUCUUAAAGCCAAUCUCAGUUCGGAUUGUAGGCUGCAACUCGCCUACAUGAAGUCGGAAUCGCUAGUAAUCGCGGAUCAGCACGCCGCGGUGAAUACGUUCCCGGGCCUUGUACACACCGCCCGUCACACCACGAGAGUUUGUAACACCCGAAGUCGGUGAGGUAACCUUUUGGAGCCAGCCGCCUAAGGUGGGACAGAUGAUUGGGGUGAAGUCGUAACAAGGUA
Molecule: ribosomal RNA, 1506 nt
Filed under: metagenome
Description: bacterial SSU rRNA
Rfam family: Bacterial small subunit ribosomal RNA
Source: RNAcentral